Molecule: long non-coding RNA, 1241 nt
Filed under: Equus asinus (donkey)
Lineage: Eukaryota; Metazoa; Chordata; Mammalia; Perissodactyla; Equidae
Description: lncRNA (ENSEASG00005031343.1)
Source: RNAcentral
GGAGUUAACAGUCUCAAAUCAGCUAAAGCUGGACUCAGAAUCUGCGCCAGCUCCCAUCAAAAUUUGGCUAAUGAAGCUGAAGUCCACAUUGGAGAUAAAAAGCUUUAGCUGGGGAAGCUGCAAAAGUCACCUUUUAGUGAAUAAAAACAGUGAGGAUAUCCCAGCUUGCACGUCCCCUUCUCUAAGGCCUGUGUAAUAGUUGAUGGACGAAGAGGCAAGACUGGAGGCAGGCAAAGUUCCAGAUGAAGCUACACUGUCAGCCUGAGCCCCGGAGUGAAGAUGAUUGACACGGAGCGGAGCCUCAGCUGAACCACGAUAGACGUGUACAAUGAACCAGAGGGGAAACCAACAGCGUGGGAUCAGGAAAAAAUGGACAGUAAGAGAAAGAAGUAAAGAGAGGAAGAAGAGGAACCUGGUUUGAGGAAGAGGUGGUCCAGUAGUUCUCAAAUUUUAGUGUGCAUCAGAAUCACCUGGAAAGACUAUUAAAAUCCAGAUCGCUGGACCCCAGUCCCUGAGUUUCUGACGCAGUAGGUCUGGAGUGAGCCCAAGGAUGUGCGUUUCUAUGAAGUUUCCAGGAGAUGCUGAUGCUGCUGAUUCAGGGACAACACUUUGGAAACCACUGAGCUAAUGUGCCUUUGUUACCCUUCUUGAUCACAUAACAUGUGAAUUAUGUCUCUUGAAGACUUCCAAUCUUUAUUGAGGGAGAGGAGAAAGGGGCAAUUGAUUGAGGAGAAAGAAACUUGGCUUAAGGGGAAGUGGGCGCCUCCAGAGCACAGUGACCCAAGCUCUGGUCUUGAAGCCACCAAACCUGUGACCUGUGCAAGUGACUUCAUCCCUCUGAAGCUUGGUUUCCUGUAUGCAAAAUGGAAAUGAGAACAAUAUCAAUUCUGCUAAAAACAAGAGACUGUCGAGAUCAAAUGAGAUAAAUACGGAGUGAAACAAUUACCUUCAAAGUGGACAUCUGAAUUCCCCUCUGGGCAAGAACUGUCUUCCAUAAGGAAAAUAUCUUGACUAUUUACUUGAGGGUGGAAAGUGAGACUUGUAGUGCAAGGUCUAAAAGAAGGGAAAAGGCAGUAAAACCGCUCUGAAAGAGAAAUGGCUGGGAAUUGGGAAGGAGAGCACACCCACCGAGGAGGAGGGUGUGACUAAGUAGAAAGGCUGCCAUUUGCAAAAGCACUUUUUAGAACAGGGAUGGUUACUGUUCAGUUUUCAGCUGUUAGUGUUUCUAGAGAUAAAGCUUU